CCGCAGACACACUGAAGUCGCUAGACGUCGUGAGGAACACAUCCGGGGAAGAAGACACAGGUGGCUGGUCAUCGAGAGCCCGCUGGGGGAAGAGCACACAGACAGGCACCGGCAGGCCAUUGACCAGCGGGACAAGGGGUGCUCAAUGUCAUCACAAGGGUCCUUAAGAGGGAAAGAGGAAGCCAUGAGGGUCAGAGUCAAAGGAAGACUUGAAGAUACUACACUGAGGACUUUAAAGAUGAAGGAAGGGGCGAAAACCAAGAAUGUGGGAAGCCUCUAGAAGCUAGAGAAGGCAAGGAAACAGAUUUUCCACUAGAGCCUCCAGAAGGAACACAGCCCUGCUGACCCACUGUAAUGUCUGACCUCUAGAUGUGUAAGGGUAGUAAGACUGAAAGUCUCAGAAAGGCACUGUUACAUUCUUAUUCCACAACCAUGCAACUCAAAACUGGGGUCCUCAGCAAUGAGCGAGGGGCGAGAGAAGGCACUGUAUAAACAUGGCACAUCCUCCUGGAAAGUCAACUUUACUCAAAGGUUCUUACACACAGUGACAGCUAGCAGAGUCUAAAGUGCUGACAUUAUGACUUAGAGAUGUGAUAAAGAGAAACAUCUAUUGCAUUUUCUAAAACGUUUGGCAAUUCCCAGUCUACACUUACACUGUCCAAUGGAAAUACAAUGCAAACCAGAAGUGUAAUUUGGCUCGUGUGGAAUGACUUAUCCUGGAAUUUAGAGUUGAAGAUAAUCCUGAUGCUUCAAAGAGAAGAGUUGGAACACAGUCCUUUUUCUAAACAGAGGAAUUGUUGAAUAUGCAACUGGUCCUCUGACUUAACUAAUUAUUUAAUUUGGAAGUUAUAGGCUUUUUAUCACUUGAGGAGCAGCUUUCUCUGAACAAAUACAGUGUCCCCUGGGGUGUCCAAAAUUGUGACAGAAAAGUAGCGCCAGCUUGAAAUUAGCUAGUCAUCACACAGUGGCGUCAUGUGAAUGAAGACUCCCCCAAAUCUAUGACUCUCUUCUAUCCUUAUGAACUAAUUCAAUAAAUAAAUGAGCACUUUCUCAGUUCCCAAACUGAGAGCAGUUUUAAAAAAUAAUGAGAGCCCAGAUAUCUAUUUAGAGAGAUGGCGAGACAGAGGAGAGAGCAAGUUGCACACCACGAAACAAAGGGAAAGAUAAGAAGAGAGAGUGUGUCACUACUUCCCCGUGGCAGAAUCACAAUCUUCUUUUGGAUGUCAUGUUGAAAAGAUUCCCAAUUCGUAGUUCUGUGAGCUAAAGCAGAUGGAUGCUCCAUGUUGGUACAAAUUCCUAUUUGAAGCAGUGUGGUUGCAAAGAUGGGGUUUGGGUCAUUUGAUUUUCUCUGAAAAACAAUCUUGUGUAACUGUUAAAAGAAUUUAUAAUACCCAAUGCAAUGUAUCAUCCAUGAUGCUUCUUCAAAAAUGUUAAAUAAAUGCUGAAACCAGUGUUUCAAA
RNAcentral lists this long non-coding RNA (1460 nucleotides) under Pongo abelii (Sumatran orangutan). Its description in RNAcentral is "lincRNA". The record is from RNAcentral. Lineage: Eukaryota; Metazoa; Chordata; Mammalia; Primates; Hominidae.